UACAGAACGUACACAUCGGUACAUAUGUUCGUUUAACAUAUAUGUAAACAUAAAGUUUAUGAAUUAAGACAAGUACGUGCCCAGUGUCUCUACGUAGCCUUCCAAUAGGAUUGGUUUUUAUAUUUAUAUAUAUAUUUAACAAAAGAGACAAAUAUCUGUGUGCACAUGGUGGCUAAACUGUUGGGAAGGUGAUUGGAAUCAUUGGAAUCGUAAGGAAGGAUCGAUGACUUCGAUGAGAACGCGUCUAAUGUAAAUGUAAUCUGUUACAGUAUGGUAUAGUAUAGUUACUCUACCUGUAUAUUGUUGAAGAUUUGCGGAAGUGUAAUGUAAAUAAAUGUUUACGGUACUGUAUUACCCCUGAAAAGCAGUUAAUAGUAUGACAGAACUAUCCUCGGUCACCGUGAAGGCAACCAUAAUUCUAACCUUCGUCGCUGGAUUUAUGUUGGGUUAUAAAGCUAAAGAAUGGAGAAUUAAGUGGAUGAAAUGGAGACGAGAUAAACUUGCAACGAAACUUGCGGAAACCCAAAAAAAGUUGGAAGUAAUAAUCACAUCAUGACAGUUGUAUCGGAUUUAGUGAAGGGCUUGUGGGGUUCAUAUAUAUGUACCAGUUGAGCUACUGACAGUUGUAGAAAAUCUAAUACUUCUACAGUUACAAUGUAAACACACAUUGACUAAGUGUUCUACAGUUGGUAGCCUGCGAAGACCUUGUAGGGGUGUGUGAUGUCUGCAUGUUUUCUUAGUUACUUUAUGAACAAAUAGCCAAUUUGAUGAAAAUAAUUCAAAGGUCAUGCCACUGGAUGUCACAGUGACUUAAAGGUUAUUUGAUAUACACAUUCUUUUUUUAUAUGAUGAGAUACUAUACAUGUGGGCAUAUUCUGUAUGAAAAAUGUACAAAGGCAUUGGAUAUCAAUGUGACAUGAAAUAAUAAAAGCAUUUGCCUGACUUCAUUUAAUAGUUCUGAUAAAAUUCAUUGCUAUUAAAGUGCUUACAUGAUAUGAAGGUGCUAAAGUUUUAUUUAGUUUAUCCAUCUUGUCAAUUUUAUGUAAAGAAUUAUUACUUUUGUAACUCUUCUUACAUUAACAUCACAACAUUUACUUUUUGAAGCCAUGUUUUGUGACAAAACGAUGCAGUACUUUAUAAGAAAGGAAAGUUAUUCUGAGUCUGUGAAAGGCUUGUUACACUGCUGAACACAUUUUCACAGCACGAGUUAAGGUAUUUUAACCGCACACGCGUAUCUAGGUGGAGUACACUGACCUGGAUCGGAGACUAUCUAGAAGUGCGCUGUAGAUCUGGUAGUCUGGUUGGCGGCUACGUCCUUCUUGAUAACGCCUCCGCGAAUGGAAUAUCUCAGGGUUUAUUGGGCUAGUUGAUAAGAGGUGUUAUCAUUGAAUGUUUUAAAGCUUUCGGGUAGAGUCAUGGAUUCUUUCCUCAGGGACGUUUAGGGCCUCGCUUCAAAGGGGUUGGAAGGAGAUGUCCUGGAUUCGACUCUCCGUGUUAGCGGAGUCAGGUGAGAACACAUGACGUUCUUCUUGAAGCAGACCGGAAAACAAGAAAUUGUAAGAUGUGGAAAAAUUUAUGUAGAAUUUUUAAUAGUUUAUGAAUAAACAAAAAUAAAUAUUAUAUAUUAAUUUGCAGAGAU
Cryptotermes secundus is the source of this 1639-nucleotide long non-coding RNA. RefSeq lists it as uncharacterized. The record is from RefSeq and is a predicted model, not a curated record. Lineage: Eukaryota; Metazoa; Arthropoda; Insecta; Blattodea; Kalotermitidae. The transcript is spliced from 3 exons.